AGAAAAUUAUUUCUUAGAGAGUUUUCUUGCGAGAGAAGUAGUGAGCCAAUUUGUGAGAGUGUUUCUUACAAAUUGAGAGAUAUAUUGUAGAGAAUUUCACCUAAGGGUGAAGUUGUUGUAUUUCCAUUAUCAUUAUAGUGGAAGUUUUAAGGGGUCUAAUGGUCCCGUGAUUUUUCCUUUCUCACAUUGAGAAGGUUUUCCACACUAAAAUUCUUGUGUUAUUUCGCUUAUAUUUUUCACGUUUCCGCUAGUGCCUAAUUGUUGAGUUCACGGAGGAGGGAAAUUAUGGAGGUUAUUUCCCAACAGUGGUAUCAGAGCUCUGUGUGAGCUCUGGGUAGGGGUGGACAGAAAGUAAUCAACCGAUCCUAUCCGCCCGAUCCAUGCAAACCGAAUGCAUUCGGUCGGGUUAAGUUCGGGUUCGCGGGUCCAACGGGUGAUUCACUCGGUUCACAAUGGUUAGUAUCGGUUCGGUUCGGUUGAGAAAAUUCAAUCCAACGGAAACCGAACCCGACCGCAAUAGGCUUGUACUGGGCUGGACUUAGUAGUUUUUGAAGCCCAGGAAAUAUGCCAUUAGGUUACUCUAACACAUAUAAGAGAUAGUAAAUGAAACCCUAGCCGCUUCAACUUUAUUUUUCUGUGUUUUCUUUCCUCAUCUAAAAUUAGCCGCUUCAACUUUUUCUUCUUCUGUGUUUUCUCUCCUCAUCCAAAAUCCAGCAAAGGAAAAUCAAAGAUGUGAUUCGUCACAACAUGAUGAAGAACAUGAAACGAAUCUUAAUAAAGGUAGGGUUCAAGAUGAAGAGGUUGUUAGUGAGAAAUUUGUGUUAAAGAUGAUUAUCAUUUCGAAAAUACCCAUUAAUCAAGGGUUGAGUUCUUAUGUAGAUCUGAGAUCUGGACUCUUAAAGGUAGAUCUUGGCUCUCAAAGGUUAGUUAUAACUUAUAAGUAUGUCUAACCUCUUGUAUUUUCUUUAUGUCAUGUAAUUUUUUUUAUUGUUUUUCUUUUAAUUUCACUCAAAGGUAGAAAGUAAGUUGUGUUAUGCUAGGUUAUUUUCAAUUCUCUUUGAUAAGUUCUGUUCUGUAAGUUUGUUUUAAUUUCUCUUUGAUAAGUUUUAUACAGGUAGGAGUUAUUGUUGUAUUGCAGCAACCUUGAUUUAUUCUUGUUAAUACACAGGUGUUAAAGGACAAUGUGAAGAAAUUAUUCCAGAUUUAA
Long non-coding RNA from Vicia villosa (hairy vetch), 1207 nucleotides. RefSeq lists it as uncharacterized. The record is from RefSeq and is a predicted model, not a curated record. The transcript is spliced from 4 exons. NCBI's taxonomy places the organism in Eukaryota, Viridiplantae, Streptophyta, Magnoliopsida, Fabales, Fabaceae.